RNAcentral lists this ribosomal RNA (320 nucleotides) under Spectrolebias costai. RNAcentral describes it as "partial 12S ribosomal RNA". It matches the Rfam family "Bacterial small subunit ribosomal RNA", at positions 875 to 1360 of the family's 1533-position model. Lineage: Eukaryota; Metazoa; Chordata; Actinopteri; Cyprinodontiformes; Rivulidae. The record is from RNAcentral.
GAAAACUAUAAGCGUAAGCUUAAAACUCAAAGGGUCUGGCGGCACUUUAAACUAUCUAGAGGAGCCUGUCCUAUAAUCGAUAAUCCCCGCUAAACCUCACCUUCUUUUGCAACUGUUCAGUCUGUAUACCGCCGUCGUCAGCUUUCCCUCUAAAGGAUAAAUAAGUAAGCAAAACUGGUCUCACCCAAAACGUCAGGUCAAGGUGCAACUCACAAGAAGGUAAGAGAUGGGCUACAUUUCCUAUACAGGAAACACGAAUAGCGUAUUGAAACAUAUGCAUUGAAGGUGGAUUUAGCAGUAAACAAAAAACAGAGUGUUUU